This 586-nucleotide ribosomal RNA is filed under the name Aspergillus fumigatus. RNAcentral's name for it is "partial large subunit ribosomal RNA". It matches the Rfam family "Eukaryotic large subunit ribosomal RNA", at positions 67 to 670 of the family's 3401-position model. The record is from RNAcentral. Lineage: Eukaryota; Fungi; Ascomycota; Eurotiomycetes; Eurotiales; Aspergillaceae.
ACACGGUAAUGCUCAGUACGGCGAGUGAAGCGGCAAGAGCUCAAAUUUGAAAGCUGGCCCCUUCGGGGUCCGCGUUGUAAUUUGCAGAGGAUGCUUCGGGUGCAGCCCCCGUCUAAGUGCCCUGGAACGGGCCGUCAUAGAGGGUGAGAAUCCCGUCUGGGACGGGGUGUCUGCGUCCGUGUGAAGCUCCUUCGACGAGUCGAGUUGUUUGGGAAUGCAGCUCUAAAUGGGUGGUAAAUUUCAUCUAAAGCUAAAUACUGGCCGGAGACCGAUAGCGCACAAGUAGAGUGAUCGAAAGAUGAAAAGCACUUUGAAAAGAGAGUUAAACAGCACGUGAAAUUGUUGAAAGGGAAGCGUUUGCGACCAGACUCGCCCGCGGGGUUCAGCCGGCAUUCGUGCCGGUGUACUUCCCCGUGGGCGGGCCAGCGUCGGUUUGGGCGGCCGGUCAAAGGCCCUCGGAAUGUAUCACCUCUCGGGGUGUCUUAUAGCCGAGGGUGCAAUGCGGCCUGCCUGGACCGAGGAACGCGCUUCGGCUCGGACGCUGGCGUAAUGGUCGUAAAUGACCCGUCUUGAAAACCGGACCAAA